UAGGGAAUCUUCGGCAAUGGACGAAAGUCUGACCGAGCAACGCCGCGUGAGUGAAGAAGGUUUUCGGAUCGUAAAACUCUGUUGUUAGAGAAGAACAAGGACGUUAGUAACUGAACGUCCCCUGACGGUAUCUAACCAGAAAGCCACGGCUAACUACGUGCCAGCAGCCGCGGUAAUACGUAGGUGGCAAGCGUUGUCCGGAUUUAUUGGGCGUAAAGCGAGCGCAGGCGGUUUCUUAAGUCUGAUGUGAAAGCCCCCGGCUCAACCGGGGAGGGUCAUUGGAAACUGGGAGACUUGAGUGCAGAAGAGGAGAGUGGAAUUCCAUGUGUAGCGGUGAAAUGCGUAGAUAUAUGGAGGAACACCAGUGGCGAAGGCGGAUCUAUGGUCUGUAACUGACGCUGAGGCUCGAAAGCGUGGGGAGCAAACAGG
Molecule: ribosomal RNA, 429 nt
Filed under: Gemmatimonadota bacterium
Lineage: Bacteria; Pseudomonadati; Gemmatimonadota
Description: Gemmatimonadetes bacterium partial 16S ribosomal RNA
Rfam family: Bacterial small subunit ribosomal RNA
Source: RNAcentral